CAGGUCCUCCUACGGGAGGCAGCAGUGGGGAAUUUUGGACAAUGGGGGCAACCCUGAUCCAGCCAUGCCGCGUGUGUGAAGAAGGCCUUCGGGUUGUAAAGCACUUUCGGACGGAACGAAAUCGCGCGGGCGAAUAUCCCGCGUGGAUGACGGUACCGUAAGAAGAAGCACCGGCUAACUACGUGCCAGCAGCCGCGGUAAUACGUAGGGUGCGAGCGUUAAUCGGAAUUACUGGGCGUAAAGUGUGCGCAGGCGGCCGAGCAAGUCGAGUGUGAAAGCCCCGGGCUUAACUUGGGAAUUGCGCUCGAAACUACUUGGCUGGAGUGUGGCAGAGGAAGGUGGAAUUCCACGUGUAGCGGUGAAAUGCGUAGAGAUGUGGAGGAACACCAAUGGCGAAGGCAGCCUUCUGGGCCAACACUGACGCUCAUGCACGAAAGCGUGGGGAGCAAACAGGAUUAGAUACCCUGGUAGUCCACGCCCUAAACGAUGACGACUAGUUGUUGGGGGAGUUAAAUCCCUUAGUAACGCAGCUAACGCGCGAAGUCGUCCGCCUGGGGAGUACGGUCGCAAGAUUAAAACUUAAAGGAAUUGACG
Molecule: ribosomal RNA, 594 nt
Filed under: uncultured beta proteobacterium
Lineage: Bacteria; Pseudomonadati; Pseudomonadota; Betaproteobacteria
Description: bacterial SSU rRNA
Rfam family: Bacterial small subunit ribosomal RNA
Source: RNAcentral